RNAcentral lists this long non-coding RNA (329 nucleotides) under Fukomys damarensis (Damara mole-rat). Its description in RNAcentral is "lncRNA (ENSFDAG00000027849.1)". Lineage: Eukaryota; Metazoa; Chordata; Mammalia; Rodentia; Bathyergidae. The record is from RNAcentral.
GUCAAAGUGCUGACUGAACUGCUUUGCCUUUCCUCCCUGGAUGGCAGGAACAGACCUCAGAGCCCCUGUCGGACUACAGCUAGGGGUGGGGCCCCAAAGCUGCCUCCCUCUGGGGACUCAGGGCACGGGUUCCCGGGAUAAUUUCAUCCAUGUGGCUCUUGUUCAUGUGUCCCGAGUGGCCCGAUGGAGAUUCAGGUGCCAAGAAUUCUCCUCAUCUGGUUCUAAGUAGACCCUAUGUGGGCCCGAGCUGGAGGUUCCUGGAGUUUUCUGGUUUCGAUGCUUUCUCCCCACCAGAGCAUGCAGUGGCCUCUUCCACAGAAGCCAAGGUG